Long non-coding RNA from Mus musculus (house mouse), 937 nucleotides. RefSeq annotates it as predicted gene, 28050. NCBI's taxonomy places the organism in Eukaryota, Metazoa, Chordata, Mammalia, Rodentia, Muridae. The transcript is spliced from 3 exons. The record is from RefSeq and is a predicted model, not a curated record.
AAGACAGCUACAGUGCACUCAUACACAUAAAAUAAAUCUUAAAAAAGAAACUACCAUAAAGCGGUUGUAUAAAGCAAUAUUCAUGCAAGUUCUUAACAUACUGAGAAGCAGCAGACUCUGGUGCUACAUACCUGUAAUUGAGCAUUUAGGAGGUGGAGCUGGAAGAAGCAUUCAAGGCCAUCUACUCUAAUCUACAUAGCAAGUUUGAGAUCUGCCUGGGCUCCUACCCAGUAUUCCACCUGCAUCCCUCAAGAUACAGGUAAUUGCCAUUUCUUGAUAUUUAUUCUGUGACAGUUCCUUCUCAAAUAUAUUCCCUGAUAUUUAUUCCUACCCUUCUUCAGGUCCAAGGUCAUUCUUGGUUCCAUCAUUUUCCAGUCAAGGAGGUGGAGUUCUCAUAGCGAGAAACUUUGGAAAAAACCAUAAAUAUAAGACGAGGCCACCAGAGGAUGUAACUAUCUCCCAGAGUUCACUAUGGUGAGGAGUACAAGUUCUAGCCAUUGAGGACUGGCUCUGGCGUCAGUCUCUAGUCGAAACAAAGGAAAAACUUGAUUCUGGAGCCAUGGACUGUUGUCUGCCGGAAGGAACCUCUCCGAGUUUCUGUAAAGGUGGUUAACCCGCAGGCAGGAGAUGCUACUUGGGACAUUUUUUUGCAAAUUUACAUUUAUGUUUGUUGAUUCCAUAUUAAACCGAACAAGCAGGCUUGUGGAAGGUAAAGCCUUCUUUUAAUUAACCCUCUUGGUGUGGGCUCAUGUGAUUAAAGAUGACGGAGCUGCUCCUGGGGUUUCUGCUACUGAAAAUACUAACAAUAAUCAUUUGUUUUGUUUUUAUAUUUAAACACAUUAUUGCAUAGCUUGGUGCAGAGAUAAUUACCAAUUUUAUCUCCUGUGUUUUUCUAAUGUUCAUUAAUAACAAUAAAGGGUUGUAGGUUAAAAACUCA